CAGCAGCCGCGGUAAAACGGAGGGCGCGAGCGUUACCCGGGUUUACUGGGCGUAAAGGGCGUGUAGGCGGCCUGGGGCGUCCCAUGUGAAAGGCCACGGCUCAACCGUGGAGGAGCGUGGGAUACGCUCAGGCUAGAGGGUGGGAGAGGGUGGUGGAAUUCCCGGAGUAGCGGUGAAAUGCGCAGAUACCGGGAGGAACGCCGAUGGCGAAGGCAGCCACCUGGUCCACUUCUGACGCUGAGGCGCGAAAGCGUGGGGAGCAAACCGGAUUAGAUACCCCCGUAGUCCCUGUCUCUUAUAC
RNAcentral lists this ribosomal RNA (301 nucleotides) under uncultured bacterium. Its description in RNAcentral is "partial 16S ribosomal RNA". It matches the Rfam family "Bacterial small subunit ribosomal RNA", at positions 509 to 807 of the family's 1533-position model. The record is from RNAcentral.